AACGAACGCUGGCGGCAUGCCUAACACAUGCAAGUCGAACGAUGCCUUCGGGUCUAGUUGCGCACGGUUGCGUACCGCGUGGUAACCUGCCCUUAGGUUCGCAAUCACUCCCCGUAAGAGUUGCUAAUACCGGAUAAUCUCUUCGUACCUAAGAUUUAUCUCCUUUGGAUGGGCCCGCGUUGGAUUAGCUAGUUGGUAGUGUAAAAGCCUGCCAAGGCGACGAUCCAGAGCUGGUCUGGGAGGAGGACAAGCCACAAUGGCCCUGAGACACGGACCAGAAUGAGACGGGAGGGAGGGGUGGGGAAUAUUGGACAAGGGAGGAAAGCCUGAUCAAGCAAUGCGGGGGGAGUGAUGAAGGGCUUAGGGUUGUAAAGCUAUUAUACAAGGGAUGAUAAUGACAGUACCGGGAGAAUAAGCUCCGGCUAACUACGUG
Molecule: ribosomal RNA, 433 nt
Filed under: uncultured bacterium
Lineage: Bacteria
Description: partial 16S ribosomal RNA
Rfam family: Bacterial small subunit ribosomal RNA
Source: RNAcentral